GUACGGGAGGCAGCAGUGGGGAAUAUUGGACAAUGGGCGCAAGCCUGAUCCAGCCAUGCCGCGUGGGUGAUGAAGGCCCUAGGGUUGUAAAGCCCUUUCAGCGGGGAAGAUAAUGACGGUACCCGCAGAAGAAGCCCCGGCUAACUUCGUGCCAGCAGCCGCGGUAAUACGAAGGGGGCUAGCGUUGCUCGGAAUUACUGGGCGUAAAGCGCACGUAGGCGGCUUUUCAAGUCGGAGGUGAAAUCCUGGAGCUCAACUCCAGAACUGCCUUCGAUACUGGAAAGCUCGAGUCCGGGAGAGGUGAGUGGAACUGCGAGUGUAGAGGUGAAAUUCGUAGAUAUUCGCAAGAACACCAGUGGCGAAGGCGGCUCACUGGCCCGGUACUGACGCUGAGGUGCGAAAGCGUGGGGAGCAAACAGGAUUAGAUACCCGUGUAGUCCG
RNAcentral lists this ribosomal RNA (441 nucleotides) under uncultured bacterium. Its description in RNAcentral is "bacterial SSU rRNA". It matches the Rfam family "Bacterial small subunit ribosomal RNA", at positions 339 to 797 of the family's 1533-position model. The record is from RNAcentral.